UCAACGCAGAGUGGGCGUGCUCUUUUGAUUGCUUCUGCUUGGGGAAAAACAAAAUUGGGCUAAAGGAAAACACACGUUGAACGCCAGGACACGGAUUCUUUGUGACGCAAGUCAUGCUGCUCCUGAAGAAGCAUGCAUGGGAAGCCAACAUGUGUGUUUGUAUUAACUCUACGUCUCCAUCAUAUCUGUCUCGUAACGUCCGGUCACUUUUUCGGACAGUACGUAUGCCUUCAAGAGAACAACACUGCUUUUGAACUUCUGUGUACAAGCUAAUAAAAAUAACAUAUUGCCGCU
Molecule: long non-coding RNA, 294 nt
Organism: Rhipicephalus microplus (southern cattle tick)
Lineage: Eukaryota; Metazoa; Arthropoda; Arachnida; Ixodida; Ixodidae
Source: RefSeq, a predicted model, not a curated record